This 431-nucleotide ribosomal RNA is filed under the name uncultured bacterium. RNAcentral's name for it is "bacterial SSU rRNA". It matches the Rfam family "Bacterial small subunit ribosomal RNA", at positions 29 to 507 of the family's 1533-position model. The record is from RNAcentral.
AACGAACGCUGGCGGCAGGCCUAACACAUGCAAGUCGAGCGCCCCGCAAGGGGAGCGGCGGACGGGUGAGUAACGCGUGGGAACGUACCCUUUGCUACGGAAUAGCCUCGGGAAACUGGGAGUAAUACCGUAUGUGCCCUUCGGGGGAAAGAUUUAUCGGCAAAGGAUCGGCCCGCGUUGGAUUAGGUAGUUGGUGGGGUAAUGGCCUACCAAGCCGACGAUCCAUAGCUGGUUUGAGAGGAUGAUCAGCCACACUGGGACUGAGACACGGCCCAGACUCCUACGGGAGGCAGCAGUGGGGAAUCUUAGACAAUGGGCGCAAGCCUGAUCUAGCCAUGCCGCGUGAGCGAUGAAGGCCUUAGGGUUGUAAAGUCCUUUCAGAUGGGAAGAUAAUGACGGUACCAUCAGAAGAAGCCCCGGCUAACUCCGUG